UAGCUCAGUGGUAGAGUGCUUGGCUACCACCCUUGGGGUCCUGGGUUCAAUCCCCAG
RNAcentral lists this transfer RNA (57 nucleotides) under Heterocephalus glaber (naked mole-rat). It matches the Rfam family "tRNA", at positions 8 to 63 of the family's 71-position model. Rfam says of the family: Transfer RNA (tRNA) molecules are approximately 80 nucleotides in length. Their secondary structure includes four short double-helical elements and three loops (D, anti-codon, and T loops). Lineage: Eukaryota; Metazoa; Chordata; Mammalia; Rodentia; Bathyergidae. The record is from Rfam by way of RNAcentral.